Molecule: ribosomal RNA, 343 nt
Filed under: uncultured bacterium
Lineage: Bacteria
Description: bacterial SSU rRNA
Rfam family: Bacterial small subunit ribosomal RNA
Source: RNAcentral
AGGGUUCGAUUCUGGCUCAGGAUGAACGCUGGCGGCGUGCUUAACACAUGCAAGUCGAACGGGAAAUACUUUAUUGAAACUUCGGUGGAUUUAAUUUAUUUCUAGUGGCGGACGGGUGAGUAACGCGUGGGUAACCUGCCUUAUACUGGGGGAUAACAGCCAGAAAUGACUGCUAAUACCGCAUAAGCGCACAGAACCGCAUGGUUCGGUGUGAAAAACUCCGGUGGUAUAAGAUGGACCCGCGUUGGAUUAGCUAGUUGGCAGGGCAGCGGCCUACCAAGGCGACGAUCCAUAGCCGGCCUGAGAGGGUGAACGGCCACAUUGGGACUGAGACACGGCCCAG